Molecule: long non-coding RNA, 1033 nt
Organism: Ctenopharyngodon idella (grass carp)
Lineage: Eukaryota; Metazoa; Chordata; Actinopteri; Cypriniformes; Xenocyprididae
Exons: 3
Source: RefSeq, a predicted model, not a curated record
ACAGCAGCGCAGUCAUGACUCAGUGAUCAUCAGUACGGUGUGUUUCCCAAUGUAGUGACCGAUUAAUUAGUGGCGAAACAUAUAGCAAAAGAUCUUGAUCAACUAAAGCAAUCUAAUCAUCUGAAGUCAGUUCUGCUGCACAAUAAAGGCUUGCUGGUUCCCUUUAAGAGUGAGACCUUAAGCCUGAUUAUGUAACGUUCCCGAAAACCUUCACCCGGCUGGGGUUUUGUUUGGUUGUUUUCUCUGCUGAACGCCCGGGACGUCCCUCUGAGCAAACAACGCAAUCACCACAGACAAUUUCACAGACUUAGACAAGCUUUUGUAUGUCUUUACUUGAUGGUGAUAACAUAAGUGACCAUGAUAUAUAAUGCUGUCCUAUUUAUCUCAGUGAUGAGUGGGCACAUCUACAGAUUCACAGAUAAAGAAGGAGACUCUAUUAAUACCAGAUCUGCAAGACACAUGAAGCACAUCCAAAGCAGUACUGUCAGUCUCCUGUCAUCUCAAUAAGUGAAAGAACAACAUAAAAAUAUCAAAAAAUCAUCCCCUGGGACAGCUGAUCUAUGCUGAUAUGAUCUUGCUCAACAAGUUGCUUCAAAGAAGUGGGCUUGCAAUUGCUGAAUCAACAGGUGUAAAAUGCAAUCACAAAAAGCAGCAAAUAAGAUUAGAACACCUAUUAAAAAUAGAUGUGCAAAGCUGGGUAAUGAGAAGUAACAAACAGUAAUAGUGCAUUGUACUUCUGUGAAUUAAAAAAGGAAAAUGCGGAAGUGGGCUUUGUUUUUGCAUGGAUGCAUGGCUAAAAACGGCCCAGCGUCCAGCCAAUCACAAGAGCUUUAAACGAACCAAUCACACGAGUCCCACUAAAAUGCAACCACUCACACGAGAGCAGGGACUCUCAGCCAAUCACCCACGAGCUCUAAUACCCACGUGACUUUAGCGUUUCAGAAAACUGUGUGACAUCAGCUUUGUUUACUCACAGAAGAGAAGCGAAGGGAAGAGCUCGUGCAGCAAGUGUCUAUAUUCUAACAAACAUGGC